AUUGAACGCUGGCGGCAGGCCUAACACAUGCAAGUCGAGCGGAGCGGCGGACGGGUGAGUAAUGCCUAGGAAUCUGCCUGGUGGUGAGGGAUAACGUCCGGAAACGGGCGCUAAUACCGCAGAAGAGCAAGUGGGCCUAGGGCGGAUUAGCUAGUUGGUGGGGUAGAGGCUCACCAAGGCGACGAUCCGUAGCUGGUCUGAGAGGAUGAUCAGUCACACUGGGACUGAGACACGGUCCAGACUCCUACGGGAGGCAGUAGUGGGGAAUAUUGGGCAAUGGGCGAAAGCCUGAUCCAGCCAUGCCGCGUGUGUGAAGAAGGUCUUCGGAUUGUAAAGCACUUUAAGUUGAGAGGCGUUACCAACAGAAAAAGCACCGGCUAACUUCGUGCCAGCAGCCGCGGUAAUAC
RNAcentral lists this ribosomal RNA (407 nucleotides) under uncultured bacterium. RNAcentral's name for it is "partial 16S ribosomal RNA". It matches the Rfam family "Bacterial small subunit ribosomal RNA", at positions 30 to 526 of the family's 1533-position model. The record is from RNAcentral.